RNAcentral lists this ribosomal RNA (253 nucleotides) under uncultured bacterium. Its description in RNAcentral is "partial 16S ribosomal RNA". It matches the Rfam family "Bacterial small subunit ribosomal RNA", at positions 524 to 776 of the family's 1533-position model. The record is from RNAcentral.
UACGAAGGGGGCUAGCGUUGUUCGGAAUAACUGGGCGUAAAGCGCAUGUAGGCGGAUCUUUAAGUCAGAGGUGAAAUCCCAGGGCUCAACCCCGGCAUUGCCUUUGAUACUGGAGAUCUGGAGUCUGGGAGAGGUGAGUGGAAUUCCGAGUGUAGAGGUGAAAUUCGUAGAUAUUCGGAGGAACACCAGUGGCGAAGGCGGCUCACUGGCCCGAGACUGACGCUGAGAUGCGAAAGCGUGGGGAGCAAACAGG